CUUACAGAAAAUUUAGGAAAAAUGAGUUGGCAUUGAAUUGGACAUUCUUUAGCAACGUCAUCCUAAUACAGGAACUUGCUAACUUUUUCACAGUGGUUAUGGUCUUGAACGGGAACAACAACUUGUUUCUCCAGUUUUUCCUUCACAUGAUCUGACACAUUUUCUGUGUGCAAAUGCGCAAAAGAGGCCUUGGAGGAGAGGAUCAACAGCUGCACGGCAGAGGAGAUCUAGCCUGGCUUGGUGGUGGAUGGAUAAACAUGGAUCCACUGGACACACGGAAUCAGAACAAAAGUUUAUCUCCUUGUAUAACCUCCUCGUUAUAAUUACUGAACAAAAUAACAGCAAUAAGACACGACAAAAGUUGAAAAUGAGUGCUUGCUGCAGGGACUGCUGUGCAUUUUCUGACCCAUUCACAGGUUAG
This 421-nucleotide long non-coding RNA is filed under the name Anser brachyrhynchus (Pink-footed goose). RNAcentral's name for it is "lncRNA (ENSABRG00000020196.1)". Lineage: Eukaryota; Metazoa; Chordata; Aves; Anseriformes; Anatidae. The record is from RNAcentral.